Molecule: ribosomal RNA, 447 nt
Filed under: uncultured bacterium
Lineage: Bacteria
Description: bacterial SSU rRNA
Rfam family: Bacterial small subunit ribosomal RNA
Source: RNAcentral
UCGGGAAUUUUGGGCAAUGGGGGAAACCCUGACCCAGCAACGCCGCGUGAAGGAUGAAGUAUUUCGGUAUGUAAACUUCGAAAGAAUAGGAAGAAUAAAUGACGGUACUAUUUAUAAGGUCCGGCUAACUACGUGCCAGCAGCCGCGGUAAUACGUAGGGACCAAGCGUUGUUCGGAUUUACUGGGCGUAAAGGGCGCGUAGGCGGCAUGACAAGUCACUUGUGAAAUCUCUGGGCUUAACCCAGAACGGCCAAGUGAUACUGUCGCGCUAGAGUGCAGAAGGGGCAAUCGGAAUUCUUGGUGUAGCGGUGAAAUGCGUAGAUAUCAAGAGGAACACCUGAGGCGAAGGCGGGUUGCUGGGCUGAUACUGACGCUGAAGCGCGAAAGCUAGGGUAGCAAACGGGAUUAGAUACCCCCGUAGUCCCUGAGCGGGCUGGCAAGGCGCAU